UUCCUUCUUACAGAGGUUCAGCCAGGGCGAGGCUCGGCCAUUGCACUCCGGCUGUGCUGACCCCUGCAAAUUCCCCAAAUGUGGGAAUCUUGACUGCAUCAUUUCUGGUAGUGGGGGACUGCGUUCGCACUCUCCCCUG
Molecule: small nuclear RNA, 139 nt
Organism: Lepisosteus oculatus (spotted gar)
Lineage: Eukaryota; Metazoa; Chordata; Actinopteri; Semionotiformes; Lepisosteidae
Gene: U1
Rfam family: U1 spliceosomal RNA
About the family: U1 is a small nuclear RNA (snRNA) component of the spliceosome (involved in pre-mRNA splicing). Its 5' end forms complementary base pairs with the 5' splice junction, thus defining the 5' donor site of an intron.
Source: Ensembl